This is a non-coding RNA of Lepisosteus oculatus (spotted gar), 445 nucleotides long. Lineage: Eukaryota; Metazoa; Chordata; Actinopteri; Semionotiformes; Lepisosteidae. The record is from RefSeq and is a predicted model, not a curated record.
GGACUGGUUUCGGAGGUGCCUGGGUAAAGCAUGUCAAUGAAAGUCAGACAGACAAGAUACCAAACACAGGCUUCCAGGAGGAGCACACAUAUCAGGAGCUGCAGCUUCAGAACCUCUUUAAACAGAAGACAGGAAUCUCCACGUUAUGUUAAGGGCAUGUCAUACAAAAACAUUCCUGAAGGCAAAGACGGCAGGACAAUUUCAUCUGGGAGAAUGCAGGUAAUUGAUCAUAUACCGGUCCGGUAAACAAAUAAUGCUAUGCACUCCACACAUCACUAUAAAAAAUUACACUUUAUUUGCCUUGAUACAUGGACAUUUUAUUUAGGUACAUUUUUUUUAUAUGAAAAUAGUGUGGCAGGCUUAUAUAACGUUCUUGCUGUACAAUCUGCAUCUUAUGCAUGAGAAUGCGAGUAAGACUUGCAGUGUUUUAUAUAAGGUCCUGAAA